This 315-nucleotide ribosomal RNA is filed under the name Triticum aestivum (bread wheat). RNAcentral describes it as "partial small subunit ribosomal RNA". The record is from RNAcentral. Lineage: Eukaryota; Viridiplantae; Streptophyta; Magnoliopsida; Poales; Poaceae.
AUGAUUGUACCUCCUGUUUAUUUGGAUAAAGAAGCUAUGUUUGAUCAUCAUUUUCUUGAGAGGAAUGAACAAUUCCUCCAUUAUCGACUAAUCUAUGACAGAUGCAACGUCAUCCCUGUUACUCUUCCUGCUCCCUACCUUUUUGAUUAUCAGGUAAAAGGAAGAUAUGUUGUCACCAGGGAAGAAGCAACUGAAUAUGAGAGGGGAAUGGAGGUAGCUUGCCAACACGCUGCUGCUCAGGAGGCGGUCGCCUCUGCAUCUCAGUACUACCCCAGUUUCACUUAUGGAUAUCAGCCAGGCGGUCCUUGGUACUAG